GUAGGAGCUGGGGAUAAGGAGCGUUCUUUUGUGGGGGGGAGGGGGGGGGCGAUUGCCUGCUCCAGGGGGGAAACGCAGGGCCCUAGAGCCAGCCUGAUCCCGAUGCGUGGGCCUCACACACAGACCCAGCCCUCGCCUGCACUUAAAACAUUAGCUCGGCCUAGUGUCGACCCAAUCCCUGCUGUGGCUGCAGCGAAAUUGAGGGGACGAUUCUCCCCUGCCCCAGCUAGUGCCUCUCAGGGCUAUGGGUUACCCACAGCAGUGGCUCUCAAACGCUUGUACGGUGACCCCUUUCACGUAGCAAGCCCCUGAGUGCGACCCCCUCCCCCUUAUUCGUUAAAAACUCUUUUAAAUCUAUUUAACACCAUUAUAAAUGCUGGAGGCAAAGCGGGGUUUGGGGUGGAGGCCGACAGCUCGUGACUCCCCCACGUAAUAACGUUGUGACCCCCCGGAGGUGUCCCGACCACCAGUUUGAGAACUACUGACCUACAGGGAUGGGAAAACCCUUUCUGGUGCUGUAGGAAAGGAUGCUUGCCAGGGCUGUGCCACUGGAGCGGCUGUAGUGCAGCUACACCUGGACAUGACGAAAAGCCCUCAUCUACACCCCGUUUUGGUGUAGUAUAGACACUUACUAGAGCCACAGAAAGGGGUUCUUUUGUUGCUGUAGUAAAUCCACCUCUCUGAAGGCUGGUCUGCGCUAGCGCUGUACCGUGGAACCUCAGAGUUAUGGACGCCUCAGGAAUGGAGGUUGUCCAUAACUCUGAACAAGAGGUUAUGGAUGUCGGCCAACGGGGAGGAGAACUGACUCCGGGUCGGGGUGAGGGCAAAAUAGCUUCAUACAUAACUUCCUGGUGUAGCAUGGGUUUAAACUUUCUGAAAUACAUUUUAGGUCAAAACUUCAUGUUUAAGCUCUGGCCGAGGGGAAUUUUUAAUAAAGUUUUGGAUAAAAUCCGUGCAGAUUUUCAAGUUCCGUAAGGAUGGAAAAACAUUCUCUCUUCUCACAAAGUGAAUGCCAUAUGCUCCUCUGCCACGUACAUAGAUUCAUAGAUAGAUAGAUACUAAGGUCAGAAGGGACCAUUCUGAUCAUCUAGUCUGACCUCCUGCAAAACGCAGGCCACAGAAUCUCACCCCACACUUGCUGCAGCAAAUUAAUUUUUCAGUGCCUCCAGAACACGUAAACUGCACAAAAUGCCAAAGAAAACAAAACAGUGACUAAAUACAGUUACUGGAGAGUUGUAGCAAAAUGUUGGAAAACUAGCACUGCGCGAAUAAUACAAGGAUCUUGGUCAUUGGGGAAAGAAACGAAUCCAGAGUCAUUGGAUCCUAGAGGAUAUUUCAACACUAGAACUCCCUAAGGUUAAUUUUGUUGGAAUCCUGAAGGAAUACUGAUCUGAGUGCUUUCAGGCCAAGGACAGAUUAAUCUAUGCAGCAAAGCAUGAGGGGAAGAGGACAUUUUUACUUACUAUUCAGCUGAAGAACCACAUGUGUUAGAUCAGAGAUAAUAGCAGACUCAAAUCUCUGUGCUCUAGCCCAUUGUUCCCCAAACUUUUGAGGGUCAUGCCCCUCCUUACCACUGACGGUGCCCCCCUACUCCUCCCAGAGCUGGGAUUGGAAGCAGAGUUGUGGCUCGGGGUGGGGCUGGGGAGAUGGACAGAAGUAAGGGGGCUGAGGUUUGGGCUGCAGCUGGGGGUAGGUCUGGGACCAGGAGCAGGGCUUGGGUCGGAGCCGUGGCCAGGGUCUGAGGCUGGGGAUGGGAGCGAAGCCGGGCCGCAGUGCGGGCCGGCAUUCAGGCCUGCGGCCAUGUGCUUCUCUGCUCCAGGCCCCACCCCCAGCCUCUGCCCCAGGCUGGGAAUGGGGCCGAGGCUGGGGGCAGGGGCAGGGCAGGAAGGGGAACUCAAAUGAGGCCAGGCAUGGGGCUGGGAGCUGGGGACGCGGCUGUGGAUCAGAGUUGGGGUCAGAGGAGAGGGGCUGAGGGGUGCACCCUAUGUGGAUAGGCCCAGGCCCCCACGUGCCCUUCCAAAGGUUCCUCCAUGUUCCCAUAGGGGGAUACACCCCACAGUUUGGGGACCGCUGCUCUAGCCACUAGAGGGGGGACAAAGAGCAACAGUUAAUGUGGGUUAUAUGCAGUGAUGAGCUGCCAAAAGCUGAAGAACCGGUUCCUUCACUCGCUCUGGGUCUUCCGCGGCAGGUCCUUCAGUCGCUCCGGGUCUUUGGCGGCAUUGAAGGACCCUCCGCCGAAAUGCCUGCUGAAAACCCAGAGCAAGUGAAGGACCCGCAGCCAAAAUGCCGCCAAAGACCCGGAGUGAGUGAAGGGCCCGCUGCCGAAGUGCUGCCGAAGACCUGGAGCGUCACUGGACUAACACGGCUGCUACUCUGAAACCAAAAAUUAAAAAGGGAUUCUCAGGGGAGCCUCCCCAGCCAAGAGCUCAGGCGGGCCAGACAGGAUGGAGUUUGCCGAUCCCUUUAACAACCGGUUCUAAACCGGCUUCAAAAUUUAACAACCGGUUCACGCAAACCAGUGUGAACCGGCUCCAGCUCACCACUGGUUAUAUGGAGAUAAAAAUCUCAGUUUCACAAGAGGGACACUUCGUACCUCUUCAACCAUGUUGACAUUACAGUCAUGUACCAUAGUGGGAAAGAUGAAAGCUGGCCUGGAGCAAGACUGGUAAUGGCAAGACUGGAUCCAAAAAGCUACAAACAUAUGGAUAAAAACAAUUUAAAUUGUGGAGGUCCCCCUAUGGAGAUUCCUGGUGAAUUCACGAACAAACUGGAAUUGAUUUGAGGAAGAUGCUCAAGAGGAAUUUGGUUGGAAGUUGGUUCAUGGAGAUGUAUUUAGAUCUCCAAGGAAGGGAAUGCUGUUAUCCGUCUUCUUGGGUCAAGGAACGCAAAUUUUCAUUAUGACAUUUAUUAUUCUAUCUUGCCUUAGCUUUCUUUCUCCUGCCAACCAAGGAGCUUUGAUGACCUGUGCAGUUGUACUGUGGGUCUUGCUGGGAACUCCUGCUGAUUAUGUAUCUGCUAGAAUGUAUAAGAUGUAUGAUCAAACUGGAACUCGUUGCCAGAGGAAGCUGUUGAGGCCAUGAAGAGGGAGCUGUUUAAAACAUUUUCAGUGCUGCUGUGUGUGAAAGACCAAAUGAUGUUGUUAAUACACAUCUUUUUAAAGCUGGGAUUUGCAGCAUUGUCAUCUGAGCUCUUUUUCUCUAGAAAUUUAACUCCACUUACUAUGCUUUUUUCUUUUCUUUGUUCAUAUGGCAUACUAGUGUCUCUGUGAUCAGAGAUAUCCUGCCCCCUGUACCACGGGGACCCAAUCCCAUACUUAUAUAGGCCAAACGCCUAAUAGGGAGAAAUUGUCUUUAGUAAAUUGUACUCCAUUUGCUUAUUUUGUUAGCCUUGAAUUAGUAAGAAGAAAUUGUUUUGGUUUUAUUUUUUGCUUUAUAUGUUACUGAGUGUUUUUAGAAGGACAGAAGUGUUAUGGCUGCAAUUCUUGCUUUUGAAAUUAUUUACUGUUUUGUGUGUGAGUGAAGAAUGUAUGGCAUGCUAACAGAGACCAGUGCUGAUGGGCCAGAUGGUCAGGAGGGGAGUGGAGAAAUCAAGAGGAAUCCCUCAGGUGGCAGAUUGACGACCCUAAAGCAAAGGCAUACGCCCCAAGGACAAGAUAAAGAGUGGAGCCAGAGGAACAAGAUAAGAAACAACUGCGGAUACUCCCAGUAACAACUUGAUUGGGAGCAACCUUGACUAACAGCUCUGGUGUGCCAAAGACUUGUAUGGGAACUUAUUACUAUAAAAGAAGGGCAUAUUGCCAUGGGACUUUGGGUUCAUUCUGCAUCAAUAUCGGAGCUUCGAACACGUUCAACAGAGACCCAGCUCCCUUCCCUUGUGUGCAGUUUCAGCUAGCCACUGGAACUGACUGAGGAACACUAAGGACUGGUAAUUAUAAAAUCCAGCUGCAGAACCUUUUGGGGGGUGUAUGUGUGUGUGUGUGUGUGUGUGUGUGUGUGAGAAUGGAAGCAUAUGCUGAUUUUAAUGCUUAAAUCAUACUCUUAAUAAACGUGGCAUAUUGCCUUAUCCCCUUUAAAAAGAUUCUCUUUGCUUCUUAUAAGCAUAACGGUUAUUACAUAGGCAAAAUACCCUUUGAAGCUGGCAGGUGUUUCAUAUGAGAAAGGACUGACUUCACUAUUAAACCAAGGGAUGGAAAUCAGGAAGCCAGGGGAUGCUGCACUGUACGGAAGCUCUGGAGACAGAGAUGGGAGGUCCCAUAGCUUCCAAAUCUUCACUUUUUAGGCUGGCUAUUGACUCCUGGGAAUGGUGUUGCACACACUGUGCUCUCCUUAGGGGCUGGUGAAGCCUCUCUUCUGCAUUCUGCAGCCAGCCAAAGCUCCAUUGACAAUCAGGCCAAAUCUGCCUUUCCCCACUUUGUCAGGCAGUUGUGGCAACUUUUGCUGUGUACCAGGAAGCAAGUUAGAAAAGCAGAGCCUAGUUUAUCCAAACCCCUCUUAUGUGAAACUCCUGUUCGAAACUGGGUUAUGAUGCCUGACGUAUUUUGUCUGUACCCCAUUUAUCUGGAUAAAUUCUGUGACCCCUGUUAUGCUCAGGCAAAUAGGGUCUAGUGUAUACCAGAAACAGGUAAGGGAGGUUCAGAUGUACUCUGCAAUGGGGUUGAAGGGGUUCGAUGUUGGUUCAGCCUCUUACAGAGAGGACUAGUGCAGAGACACUUCUCCGAUUUCAUGGAAUAUUUUGGA
RNA transcript from Dermochelys coriacea (leatherback sea turtle), 4736 nucleotides. It is a transcript of the gene named transmembrane 9 superfamily member 2-like, with no coding region annotated. Lineage: Eukaryota; Metazoa; Chordata; Testudines; Dermochelyidae. The record is from RefSeq and is a predicted model, not a curated record. The transcript is spliced from 7 exons.